Molecule: long non-coding RNA, 1585 nt
Organism: Numida meleagris (helmeted guineafowl)
Lineage: Eukaryota; Metazoa; Chordata; Aves; Galliformes; Numididae
Source: Ensembl
GCGUAGCAGUGGAUUGGCAAGGUGACAUAACAACUAUUUGCAAGUCUACAUGCUGUCUGAUGUUACUAAGGUAACUAAAUUGCACAGCAAUCUGCUCGGAAGUCCCUAAGAAGAUAAAGUGGUCAGUGCUGCUCUGCUUUGAAGACAUCAGGUACCAACCCUUUCCUGCAUCAUGUGGAAUCUAAUGAGAAGCAGACAUCAUUUGGUCACAACACUACAGAUAGCUUGCAGAAAAACAGUAAUACAAGUUAUUUCUUCCCCUCCAUCCAGCCCUGCUUUUUACAGAAUAUUGCUGACCGGCUGAAAUGUUACCCAAGCAACAUCCACUCUUCAGUUUACUUCUCUCAGCAGCUUCAGUUGAAGAAGGAACAAGACCCAGGAAAGUGUUUGGAAAUCUCUCUUGCAUCCUCCCAGUCUGAGGCCAACCAGAGGCAGAGCAGCUCCUGUUUACAUAGGAUUUGAGCACCAUUGUCACUGGAAGAAAAAAUAUUCCAGUGUGAGAGGGAUCCUCAGAUGGCAAGGCUGUAUCGAGGAGAGGGCUUUGAAUAAGCCCGGUGCAACUGAGAAAAGAUGUUGGAUGAAACGAACUGGAACUUCUUCUCUAACGUGGAUUUUAUGCUUGGUGCCAUGCAGACAGCAGUGGGGGGAGGGUGAUUUCAGUCUCUGCUACACCAACAAAAACAAACGUGUUGUUUAAACUUGGCAUUGACACAAAUAAAAUAAAAACUGAGCUGUUGUUUGGAGUCUUCGUGUAUUUGAUGGGGAUUCAAGGGGGUAAGGAAGAUGCUGCCAGCAGGGGCAGGCAUCAAAACCAACCGAACCCGCUGCAGUAUCAGUGCUUGAAGGAGCAAAUAGACGGCAGGAAGGCAAGGGCUUACCCCACGCCCCAUGAGGUGCUGAAUGGUGCUGAGGCACUUUAAGGCCUGCAGUGCCCCACCCCAAACUGUUAAUGAGCUCAUUAAUACCCGUUGCCACUCUCUCCCUCGCACCCAGCUCAGGGCAAUGGCCUUCAAAGAGAGGAGAACAGCUCGCUGUGAAGAGCUGCGUUCUUGGAGGGGAGUUUGCCCAGGAUGCCAGGGAGCAAGGCGCCUGAGCCAGGGAGAGGAGACUGCUGUCCCAGUGUCACAGGGUGUUCGAGCCAGGGACAGAACGAAGAUGGAAAAAUCCUAUAGGAUAGCAGCUACAAAAUGUUACGGCGGUCACAACACUGAUCUCAGAUUUUCUUCCCCCGGAGUAGGAAGUAGCGUCCUUCCCUCAGAUGAAGGGGGAAGGCUCCUUUUAGAAUUUAGGGCACCGGAUCAUCACAGAAGUGAGAGGAAAAGCCAUGUUCACAGCGCUGAGGAGUAAAAGGAAGUACAAAACACACACAGCUAUCAUUUCACAAUAUUGGUUCCGUGCCACAGAUGAAAUUUACAGUAAUUAGAAAUCAUCUGGAGGCUGCUCGGCAGAUUGAGUCUUCAGCUGGAAGUGCUUUGUGACAGGUGGCUUACCACAAAGCAACAUCACAAUUACCUAACACACGGGCUGAUUUGUGUAAACUCUCAUUACUGCUCACGUUAUUUAAUAAACUACGUGCAUACUCUCA